UUUUUUUUUUUUUUAAAUCUCCACUUCCAUUUUCAAACAAAAUUUCCUUUGAGAUUUUUUUCCCCCUCUUUGGGAAUAGGGUCUCACCCUGUUGCCCAGGCUGGAGUGCAGUAGCGUGAUCUCGGCUCACUGCACCUCUGCCUCCUGGCUUUCAAGCUGAGGUGGGAGGAUUGCUUGAGCCUAGGAAGUCGAGGCUGCAGUGAGCUGUGAUCUCACCACUGCACUCCAGCCUGGACUACAAAGUGAGACCCUGUCUCAAAAAAAUUUAUCAUGGCAUGACAAAUGCUGUGAUUCGGUGUACUGAUUGGGUCCGAAACAUUUGCUACAAAUAUAGAAAAUGUAUAUACUCCUAAGCAUAAAU
This is a long non-coding RNA of Homo sapiens (human), 361 nucleotides long. Ensembl annotates it as SMYD3 intronic transcript 1. Its record names the gene SMYD3-IT1. NCBI's taxonomy places the organism in Eukaryota, Metazoa, Chordata, Mammalia, Primates, Hominidae. The record is from Ensembl.